This 253-nucleotide ribosomal RNA is filed under the name uncultured prokaryote. RNAcentral's name for it is "partial 16S ribosomal RNA". It matches the Rfam family "Bacterial small subunit ribosomal RNA", at positions 524 to 776 of the family's 1533-position model. The record is from RNAcentral.
GACAGAGGGGGCAAGCGUUGCUCGGAAUCACUGGGCGUAAAGGGCGCGUAGGCGGGAUGGCAAGUCGGUCGUGAAAUCCUUCGGCUCAACCGGGGAAGUGCCUUGGAUACUGGCGGUCUUGAGCAACCUAGGGGCGAGCGGAACAAAUGGUGGAGCGGUGAAAUGCGUAGAUAUCAUUUGGAACGCCAAUGGUGAAAACAGCUCGCUGGGGGUUUGCUGACGCUGAGACACGAAAGCCAGGGGAGCAAACGGG